GCCCAGACUCCUACGGGAGGCAGCAGUAGGGAAUCUUCCGCAAUGGACGAAAGUCUGACGGAGCAACGCCGCGUGAGUGAUGAAGGUUUUCGGAUCGUAAAGCUCUGUUGUUAGGGAAGAACAAGUACCGUUCGAAUAGGGCGGUACCUUGACGGUACCUAACCAGAAAGCCACGGCUAACUACGUGCCAGCAGCCGCGGUAAUACGUAGGUGGCAAGCGUUGUCCGGAAUUAUUGGGCGUAAAGGGCUCGCAGGCGGUUUCUUAAGUCUGAUGUGAAAGCCCCCGGCUCAACCGGGGAGGGUCAUUGGAAACUGGGGAACUUGAGUGCAGAAGAGGAGAGUGGAAUUCCACGUGUAGCGGUGAAAUGCGUAGAGAUGUGGAGGAACACCAGUGGCGAAGGCGACUCUCUGGUCUGUAACUGACGCUGAGGAGCGAAAGCGUGGGGAGCGAACAGGAUUAGAUACCCUGGUAGUCCACGCCGUAAACGAUGAGUGCUAAGUGUUAGGGGGUUCCGCCCCUUAGUGCUGCAGCUAACGCAUAAGCACUCCGACCG
Molecule: ribosomal RNA, 554 nt
Filed under: Bacillus subtilis
Lineage: Bacteria; Bacillati; Bacillota; Bacilli; Caryophanales; Bacillaceae
Description: bacterial SSU rRNA
Rfam family: Bacterial small subunit ribosomal RNA
Source: RNAcentral